RNAcentral lists this ribosomal RNA (273 nucleotides) under uncultured Acinetobacter sp. RNAcentral describes it as "partial 16S ribosomal RNA". It matches the Rfam family "Bacterial small subunit ribosomal RNA", at positions 524 to 796 of the family's 1533-position model. The record is from RNAcentral. Lineage: Bacteria; Pseudomonadati; Pseudomonadota; Gammaproteobacteria; Moraxellales; Moraxellaceae.
UACAGAGGGUGCGAGCGUUAAUCGGAUUUACUGGGCGUAAAGCGUGCGUAGGCGGCUAAUUGAGUCGGAUGUGAAAUCCCCGAGCUCAACUUGGGAAUUGCAUUCGAUACUGGUUAGCUAGAGUGUGGGAGAGGAUGGUAGAAUUCCAGGUGUAGCGGUGAAAUGCGUAGAGAUCUGGAGGAAUACCGAUGGCGAAGGCAGCCAUCUGGCCUAACACUGACGCUGAGGUACGAAAGCAUGGGGAGCAAACAGGAUUAGAAACCCCCGUAGUCC